This 373-nucleotide ribosomal RNA is filed under the name uncultured organism. RNAcentral describes it as "bacterial SSU rRNA". It matches the Rfam family "Bacterial small subunit ribosomal RNA", at positions 526 to 896 of the family's 1533-position model. The record is from RNAcentral.
CGUAGGGCGCAAGCGUUGUCCGGAAUUAUUGGGCGUAAAGAGCUCGUAGGCGGCUUGUCACGUCGGGUGUGAAAGCCCGGGGCUUAACCCCGGGUCUGCAUUCGAUACGGGCUAGCUAGAGUGUGGUAGGGGAGAUCGGAAUUCCUGGUGUAGCGGUGAAAUGCGCAGAUAUCGGGAGGAACACCGGUGGCGAAGGCGGAUCUCUGGGCCAUUACUGACGCUGAGGAGCGAAAGCGUGGGGAGCGAACAGGAUUAGAUACCCUGGUAGUCCACGCCGUAAACGGUGGGAACUAGGUGUUGGCGACAUUCCACGUCGUCGGUGCCGCAGCUAACGCAUUAAGUUCCCCGCCUGGGGAGUACGGCCGCAAGGCUA